CUGCCUUUGGCUGCACACAUACUAAAAUUGGAACGAUACAGAGAAGAUUAGCAUGGCCCCUGUGCAAGGAUGACAUGCAAAUUCAUGAAGUGUUCCAUAUUUUU
Pongo abelii (Sumatran orangutan) is the source of this 104-nucleotide small nuclear RNA. Lineage: Eukaryota; Metazoa; Chordata; Mammalia; Primates; Hominidae. The record is from Ensembl.